This 2447-nucleotide long non-coding RNA is filed under the name Gouania willdenowi (blunt-snouted clingfish). RNAcentral describes it as "lncRNA (ENSGWIG00000022736.1)". The record is from RNAcentral. Lineage: Eukaryota; Metazoa; Chordata; Actinopteri; Blenniiformes; Gobiesocidae.
GUUACGUACUAUGAUAAAAAGCUAGUCCUUAAUGUUGACGGUUCUCUUGUUUGGGGGAGACUUCUACAAUGGGUGUUAAAAGGUGAUUAGCGGUGUUUUUUCCGUCUACGUGGCUACUAAUGGAUCAAAUUGAGGAGCUGAGGCUGAUAGCAGCGUGGUUGACUGAGGAGGGCUGUGUCACUGGCUCUAAAGAAGCUCAGCUGUGUGCACUAUGGCGCGCUCUCCAGCACACAAAGGAUCAUCUGAUCAAAGUGACAAAUAACCUGGAAACGCAGAGAUCACAGCACUGUGGAGAAAUGGCAGAGGUUCGUAAGUCGCUGGAGCAGAUCCGGAUCUUCACUCAGCACAAAGAUGUUUUGGCUCAAGAGAUACAGGAUGAAAACGAUCAGCUCAAAAAUCAGCUUAAGCGCCUCAUAUCUCUUCAAGAUGCUCAGAUAAGUGAGGUGGCCAAAAUGCUGCACCAGCAGGGCCUGACUGAGCUAAUGCACAGUAGCCCCAGUGAGCAGGUAGCCUAUCUGCUGGUGGAGAGGGCAUCCCUACUGGAAACCAGUGAGAAUCCCACCAAACCAAAGCUUGAUGAAAGCUCCUCCCACCUGCAGGUCACUGAAGCACUGAUGUUGAACACUAGUGGGCGCCAGACAGGUCACAAGGUGGUGCUACGUCAUGCACAAAGCUCCUGGAGAAGACUGUUUGGACUUCAUAAAGCUUCACAGAGCAAGCAUACCUUUAUCCCUACACAGGUCAGACAUGCAGCUGAUCAGUCAAGUUUGGAGAAGCAGUGCUCCCGCCUGGAGCGGGACCUGGAGGAGGGCUCCCGCCGGCUGGCAAUGGCUCACAAUGAGAUCCGGCAUUUGACUGAUGAGCUGGAGUCAGCCCAUAUGACCCAACGAACAUAUGAGCCUGAGCUUCAAUCAGCACAGCAGGAGGUUGAGCAACUCAGACACCAAGUGGAAAAACUGAAGACGUAUGAAAUGGUUGAGCUGCGAAAGGUGAAGGGGGCGAAUGAUCAUCUUGACCUGGAGAUACGAGCGUUAAGAAGCCGUGUGCGCUGCCUGGAUGCUGAGAAAACCUCCCUGCAGGAAAAGGUGGCGUCCCUGCAGGAGAAGGUCAAGGAGUUACAGUCUGCUCUGCAGGAGCAGCAGAUUCCCACUGUCCAGGUUGGAGUCCAGACCACAGAGAAGACUCGGGAGCAGGUGGAGCGGCUCAAAUCCUUCCUGCAGGAGCAUGGACAGCAGCUCCUCGUCACACAGGCUCAGGCCCAGCGAGAAGAUGAAUUAGCUAAAAUGCAUUCUCUCCAACAGCUGUGGGAUGAUUCUCAUCCUGGAACGAUAACUAACCUUAGUGCUAACAUGUGCAUCAAAGACAGCAGCUUCCAGAACCAUAUUUUGUGCACAGAGCCUUGUGAAGACACUCCCUCUCAUUUAGAAGAUGCCGUAAUGACGGAGCUGCACAAAGGAAACUCUCUAGAGGAGCAGGAGGGCGCUGGUUACAAGGAAGCUGUAUCCACUCUUAAGAAAGAGAUCUGUGAAACCUUACGAUGUCUCAACAAAGAACAAAGUAAAUACUUUGAGAUGAGAGAAAGACACAGAGUGAAGCUGUGCCGAGCCAAACAGAAGUUUGCAGACAUGACUGACUGCUAUAACAAGAAGAUUAAACACCUAGAGAGGGAGCUAUCCCUCUGCUCUCACUCAUUGUUGAAGAAGAAAGAGCUCAUGCAGAACAUGAAUGAGGAAAACGAGAAGCUCCUUUUUGAGAGAAGCAGGCUGCUACUAAAGCUGGACGAGGAGGAGCACAACAAGAAAGCCACGCAACUGUCAUCCCUGCUGUCCAAACACAGGCUGCAGUUUUUGGAGGAGGAGAACAUGAAACUGGGAAACCAGGUGUCUCACCAAUCCAAUCAGCUCGCAGUGCUGCAGCGUUGCCUAAAGAAGGUCCAGUUGCUUCCCUUUGCAGAAGAAGUGAAAAAAAGUUUAAACCAGCAGCUGUUCUUCACUCCACCUCCUGAGCAGACUUUAAGUGGGAUGCAGCUCACUCAGCGCUCAUCAUUGGACGGUGAUCGCAACGGUGAUGACACACUCACAGGUGGGACCUCCUCCUCUGGCAGCUGUUCUUUGGGGCCUUUGUGUCGAUCAGCAGAGAUGGGCUACCUGAACGUGACCACACAGAGUCACACAGACUCCUCCUCUCACCAAGUCGCCCACAGCUUCGAUGAUAGUUUGCCCACCUGAAGGCUAAAUAUAUUUUAACACCGUACAGUCCACAAAAGCUUUAUUUUUUUAUAUACAGUAUGAAAUUAUGGUAAUAAUUUUAGUGCAAAACUUUAGUUACAAAGAACUUAAACCACACACACGAUCACAUACAUACAAAUAAUGACAAGAUUUCAAACAUAUGCAAAAAUCACAAUUUAAAAAUCAGACAAAAAAUAAAACAAUAUUUAAUAAAAUCCA